AUUGCUUCUCGGCCUUGUGGCUAAGAUCGAGUGGAG
Molecule: small nuclear RNA, 36 nt
Filed under: Cervus elaphus hippelaphus
Lineage: Eukaryota; Metazoa; Chordata; Mammalia; Artiodactyla; Cervidae
Source: RNAcentral